UUACGGCCAUGUCAUAUUAAUAAACAGGUUCUCAUACGAUCACCGAAGUUAAGCAACGUCGUGCUUGAUCAGUACCUAGAUGGGUGACCGCUUGGGAAAACCAGGUGCUGUAAG
Non-coding RNA from Acanthosepion pharaonis, 114 nucleotides. The record is from the annotation of a GenBank genome assembly. Lineage: Eukaryota; Metazoa; Mollusca; Cephalopoda; Sepiida; Sepiidae.